RNAcentral lists this long non-coding RNA (1179 nucleotides) under Fukomys damarensis (Damara mole-rat). RNAcentral's name for it is "lncRNA (ENSFDAG00000027095.1)". The record is from RNAcentral. Lineage: Eukaryota; Metazoa; Chordata; Mammalia; Rodentia; Bathyergidae.
GGGCUUUUCUUUGUUGGCAGGUUUUUAAUUACAACAUCAUCUUCACUGACUGAUACUAGGUUAUUUAGAAUUUUUAUAUCUUCUUGAUUCAGCUUUGGUAAUCUGUAUGUAUCUAGGAAUCUGUCCAUUUCUUCUGUGUUUUCCAUCUUAUUCAAGUACAUGUUCUCAAAGAAAAUAUUCGAAUGGGUAGGGGAACUGGGUUGGAAGAAAAAAAGAGAAAAGCAAGAAAAAAUGGAAACAAAGCUUUUAUAAAUAAGAAGGGGAAGAAGGAUUGAAGGGAGGGGAGGGGAAUGGGAAAAAAAGAAUCACGAUAUAGGUCGGUACAAAUUCCCCAUGAUGAAUAUGAUCAUUAUCUACAUCUAGAAUGUACCAAUAAAAAGAAUUAAUUAAAAGAAGAAGAAACUCCCAAUAUUUAGCAGCUGUACAUCUGGCCGAGCAUUUUGUAAGUUAACCUGAAAAGCUUAGGUCCUCUGAAGUGCCAGCAUCAGCUGCUGCACCCCCAUUCUAGUCUAUUAUUGAACAGACACGAGCACAGUACUACUGUAUGUGGAGAGUGCAUAUGAAUAUGCGGAUGAAAAUUUAAAAAAACAUUCUGAGCAUUCAGUCUAUGGUUCAGAUGAAACCCUACCUUCAAGGUUUCGACCCACCUCAGCGGAGCUCCAAAAGGACUGGCUGUAACAUGUGGCCACCCAGAGUGCGCCCUGGGACUUACUCCCUGUGGGAACGUCACUGGUUUUGUCCUCGAUUCUUUCUCUCCACUUCAUCGCUUCAGGUGAACUCCACCUAAGCUGCUGCUGCUGGCUUAGCCAGCAUUGCAUGGAUUUUCUCCCACCGGAGCAGCAAUCCUGGAUUCUUCCAGCAAGGCCUGGUGACCUUUCUACCUCUUCUCCCCUGAUUGUCAUAAGCUCGUAACAGCCUCUUCCCAAGACCCACAUGUGCCAUCGUGCCCCUUUCCCAGGUCUUCCUGACCCAGACCUGCAGUGUCCUCUCUCUGCCCACAGAGACUCUCUGGCCACACGUGCCCUCCUCCUCCUCCUGGGCUAGCUAACCCUGUGCUCUGUGUUUUCGUAAAAGCCCAUAGCUCUUCUCUCACGACCUGUGCUGUUGUUUAUUACAGACACUGGUCGAGUGCAUUUCCCCAAGGAGCUACAAGCUCUGUGAAGACAGAGAUGGUGCCCA